Molecule: long non-coding RNA, 228 nt
Filed under: Mytilus galloprovincialis (Mediterranean mussel)
Lineage: Eukaryota; Metazoa; Mollusca; Bivalvia; Mytilida; Mytilidae
Source: RNAcentral
CAAGAGUUGGGCGAUUUUUUCAUAAAGUGGCGAUAUAGUGUGGGCCGAUUGGCCAUUGGGGCGAGUUGACAUUGUUUGAUAUCUACUCAUCGUGUUAGGGGGUCAUAAAGGGUAUACAUCAUAUAGUAAUAUAUAAAGUAUAUAAUAAUGGUUGUGUGGCGUUCUAAACUAGAUUUUAUGAAUUGUAAAUGGUUUUUCGUCUAAUCUAAAAGAGCUGGGAUGUAAAAU